UUUAUUGGAUGAGCAACGAAAGUGGCUUCUUGAGAUGGAAUCUGCCUUUAGUGGAGGUGCUGGGAA
Molecule: microRNA precursor, 66 nt
Filed under: Marmota monax (woodchuck)
Lineage: Eukaryota; Metazoa; Chordata; Mammalia; Rodentia; Sciuridae
Source: RNAcentral